UUUGACAGAUCCUAGUAAUUGCCUGAAUAU
This 30-nucleotide non-coding RNA is filed under the name Mus musculus (house mouse). Lineage: Eukaryota; Metazoa; Chordata; Mammalia; Rodentia; Muridae. The record is from RNAcentral.